RNAcentral lists this ribosomal RNA (716 nucleotides) under uncultured Corynebacterium sp. RNAcentral describes it as "bacterial SSU rRNA". It matches the Rfam family "Bacterial small subunit ribosomal RNA", at positions 65 to 791 of the family's 1533-position model. Lineage: Bacteria; Bacillati; Actinomycetota; Actinomycetes; Mycobacteriales; Corynebacteriaceae. The record is from RNAcentral.
AACGGAAAGGCCCUGCUUUUGUGGGGUGCUCGAGUGGCGAACGGGUGAGUAACACGUGAGUAACCUGCCCUUGACUUUGGGAUAACUUCAGGAAACUGGGUCUAAUACCGGAUAGGAGCCAUCUUUAGUGUGGUGGUUGGAAAGUUUUUUCGGUGUAGGAUGAGCUCGCGGCCUAUCAGCUUGUUGGUGGGGUAAUGGCCUACCAAGGCGGCGACGGGUAGCCGGCCUGAGAGGGUGUACGGCCACAUUGGGACUGAGAUACGGCCCAGACUCCUACGGGAGGCAGCAGUGGGGAAUAUUGCACAAUGGGCGCAAGCCUGAUGCAGCGACGCCGCGUGGGGGAUGAGGGCCUUCGGGUUGUAAACUCCUUUCGCUAGGGACGAAGCUUUUUUGUGACGGUACCUAGAUAAGAAGCACCGGCUAACUACGUGCCAGCAGCCGCGGUAAUACGUAGGGUGCGAGCGUUGUCCGGAAUUACUGGGCGUAAAGGGCUCGUAGGUGGUUUGUCGCGUCGUCUGUGAAAUUCUGGGGCUUAACUCCGGGCGUGCAGGCGAUACGGGCAUAACUUGAGUGCUGUAGGGGUAACUGGAAUUCCUGGUGUAGCGGUGAAAUGCGCAGAUAUCAGGAGGAACACCGAUGGCGAAGGCAGGUUACUGGGCAGUUACUGACGCUGAGGAGCGAAAGCAUGGGUAGCGAACAGGAUUAGAUACCCUGGU